CCUACGGGUGGCAGCAGUGGGGAAUAUUGCACAAUGGGGGAAACCCUGAUGCAGCGACGCCGCGUGAGUGAAGAAGUAUUUCGGUAUGUAAAGCUCUAUCAGCAGGGAAGAAAAUGACGGUACCUGAGUAAGAAGCCCCGGCUAACUACGGGCCAGCAGCCGCGGGAAUACGUAGGGGGCAAGCGUUAUCCGGAUUUACUGGGUGUAAAGGGAGCGUAGACGGCAGCACAAGUCUGGAGUGAAAUGCCGGGGCUUAACCCCGGAACUGCUUUGGAAACUGUGCAGCUAGAGUGCAGGAGAGUUAAGUGGCAUUCCUCGUGUAGCGGUGAAAUGCGUCGUUUUUAGGAGGCACACCAGUGGCGAAGGCGGCUUACUGGACUGUCACUGACGUUGCGGCUCGAAAGCGUGGGGAGCAAACAGGAUUAGAUACCCCAGUAGUC
This 440-nucleotide ribosomal RNA is filed under the name uncultured bacterium. RNAcentral's name for it is "partial 16S ribosomal RNA". It matches the Rfam family "Bacterial small subunit ribosomal RNA", at positions 338 to 795 of the family's 1533-position model. The record is from RNAcentral.